Molecule: ribosomal RNA, 504 nt
Filed under: Pantoea sp. JGM49
Lineage: Bacteria; Pseudomonadati; Pseudomonadota; Gammaproteobacteria; Enterobacterales; Erwiniaceae
Also listed under: 1 other name
Description: bacterial SSU rRNA
Rfam family: Bacterial small subunit ribosomal RNA
Source: RNAcentral
CUGAGACAGGUGCUGCAUGGCUGUCGUCAGCUCGUGUUGUGAAAUGUUGGGUUAAGUCCCGCAACGAGCGCAACCCUUAUCCUUUGUUGCCAGCGGUCCGGCCGGGAACUCAAAGGAGACUGCCAGUGAUAAACUGGAGGAAGGUGGGGAUGACGUCAAGUCAUCAUGGCCCUUACGAGUAGGGCUACACACGUGCUACAAUGGCGCAUACAAAGAGAAGCGACCUCGCGAGAGCAAGCGGACCUCAUAAAGUGCGUCGUAGUCCGGAUUGGAGUCUGCAACUCGACUCCAUGAAGUCGGAAUCGCUAGUAAUCGUAGAUCAGAAUGCUACGGUGAAUACGUUCCCGGGCCUUGUACACACCGCCCGUCACACCAUGGGAGUGGGUUGCAAAAGAAGUAGGUAGCUUAACCUUCGGGAGGGCGCUUACCACUUUGUGAUUCAUGACUGGGGUGAAGUCGUAACAAGGUAACCGUAGGGGAACCUGCGGUUGGAUCACCUCCUUA